AAACCAGCACCUCAAGUGGUCAGGAUGAUUAUUGGGCCUAAAGCAUCCGUAGCCGGCUCUGUAAGUUUUCGGUUAAAUCUGUACGCUUAACGUACAGGCUGCCGGGAAUACUGCAGAGCUAGGGAGUGGGAGAGGUAGACGGUACUCGGGAGGAAGUGGUAAAAUGCUUUGAUCUCUCGAUGACCACCUGUGGCGAAGGCGGUCUACCAGAACACGUCCGACGGUGAGGGAUGAAAGCUGGGGGAGCAAACCGGAUUAGAAACCCCAGUAGUCC
Molecule: ribosomal RNA, 274 nt
Filed under: uncultured bacterium
Lineage: Bacteria
Description: partial 16S ribosomal RNA
Rfam family: Archaeal small subunit ribosomal RNA
Source: RNAcentral